RNAcentral lists this long non-coding RNA (1341 nucleotides) under Urocitellus parryii (Arctic ground squirrel). Its description in RNAcentral is "lncRNA (ENSUPAG00010006484.1)". The record is from RNAcentral. Lineage: Eukaryota; Metazoa; Chordata; Mammalia; Rodentia; Sciuridae.
AUGGGGACUGGGUCUAGGCGCAUGCCCAGGGGCUUUUCCCAUCUGGCGCACGAGGUCACCGCGUCCUCCGGGAGGGGCUGGGGUCUUGGAGGGCCAGGGAGGGUCGGGAGGAUCGGAGGGCCUGGGUCCCGCCGCCCACCCCUCCGCUCACCCGCGCCCGCAGGCGAGCCGCCGCCUCCAUGCGCAGGGCCUUGGUGCUGCGCCCAGACCCGCGCGGUGCCCUCCCGCGCGGCGCCGGCUCGGGCAGAGGCGGAGCAGCGGCUCGCUAUUUAUAGCGCCCGGCGUCACGUGGUGGGCGGUGACCGGCCGGCGACCCGGCUCCCGGCCUCUGCACACCUGCUGCCUAAAGAUAGCCCCAGCCCCGGCCCACAGCUACUAACUAGGGGGCCAGCCGGCAGCGAGAGGAAGGCCAGGUGCGGGAAGGCAGCGCGCCAGCGCCUCUCUGGGACCUUGGGGGUUCCCGCGGCCCCACAGCCACAAGGACUCCUAGCGCAGAGAGGAGGGAGGGCUGCACAGGGUCCCCUCCUAGAAGGUCCAGAGGAGCUGGCCAGGCGCACUGCGAGGACGGCCUCCCAACAUGGAAAGCUGUACACCCAAGACUCUCCAUGCACAGCACCCACCAUGUGCCACACACUGCUGCCCCCUGUGGGCUGGCUACUCUCACACCAACAUCAUCCCCAGCUUAUGGCUGAGGAAACAGGCACAGAUCCUAGGGGCGCCUCAGGGUCGUACCAGAUAGGAAGACCGCCAGGGAGCCGUCUCCAGCCCCACCCAUCUCCAGGUUCUGGGCAGAUGCCCUCCAAAGCCCUACCCUGGGUUCCCCACUUGCUCCCACCAACUUGUCCUGGCUUUGCCUCUCAAGAGCACCGUGUCCAGGAACUCAAGUGCUCCCGGGACUCUGGGCCCCAGGGGGAGCCUAGCAUUGUGGUCAACACCAUGCCUGUCCUGGCCCCCAGAGGCCCUCAAAUCACUGUGGAACAGGGCACGUGUAGCCCCCAGCACACAGGGUCCCCAGGGGCCUUGCCUUGCUGGGAACCCUGCUCCCCGUCUGGCUCCCAGACAGACAGCCUGGCCCCUGCAAUCAGCAGUCAGCACAAGAGCGGGCUGGCCAGGGGCCAGCAGAGAACUCAGUUCCUCCAGGCAUUCCCCACAACACACCCAGAGAACAUCCCAUCAGCCAUGUCUGCCACUCUGGCCUCCUCCCACCCCCACCUGGGUGAGCAGUCAGGGGGUGGGAUGGCUCUGUCCAUGCUGGGUGGACCACAGGACCCCAGCCAGGUGGUCCUGCCCACCAGCUCAGGAGUCCCGGGGGAGUGCUCCUGGCAAGGGCUCCCCUCCUGA